Molecule: long non-coding RNA, 1338 nt
Organism: Neofelis nebulosa (Clouded leopard)
Lineage: Eukaryota; Metazoa; Chordata; Mammalia; Carnivora; Felidae
Exons: 2
Source: RefSeq, a predicted model, not a curated record
UCCCCUCUUAACAACCCCCCCACCCCCCGCCCCCCAACCUGCAACCAGAGAAAGAGUCGCCUCUGGGGACCUCUGACUCCAUCCAGGCCUCAUGGGAUGUGAGAGGCAGGGCAGGCUAGGCUCUGGGGAGGGCGACGGAGAUCUAGGAUGGUUCUAGAAGACUUCUGAAGGCCCUAAACUAGGUGAAACGAUGAGCAGUCAUCCAUGUCACUUGAAGUUCGUUCACUUCAGUUCUCAUGGAGCCAGGGGCUCCGUGCCAAGCUGCGUGGGAGCUGGAGGUGCCGCGAGGGUGACGUCCGGCCCCGCGCUCCCCAGGGGGCUCAGGGGCCGGUGAGACGGACCGACCAGCAACUCAACACCUGCCGUGUGGUCGAUCCACAUACCACAGAAGUGUAUGCAACAGAGCAAAGAGGAGGGUCUUGUCUCGGGGUGCUGGGCCACAGCUGCUUCUGGCCCCUCCCCCUUGCUGAAAAGCAGCCACCACGACGACGACGAUACGGGGAACACGAAACAGAAACACAAACUCUCAUCUUCAAGGAAACCAGGAGACACCUGUGAACCCAGACCAGCCAGCGCCCAGCACACAACGGGAUGUUAGCAUAUGCAUCGUAAGGAGAGACUCGAUGUGCUUGCACCCUUGGACAUGCUCUCUUGUGCUGACAAAAGAACAUGCCUUGGUAAGCCCAGUGGUUCCAAGAAUGGGACGGCAGAGGUACCCAGGUGCCUGCAGCUCAGAGCCGACCUGCCUAGAUUAACCCACUCCAGAUGACCUGAAGGUGUGAGGUACAAUAAAUGCUUAUUCUCGUGCACCAAAGCCAUGUGCGUGGUUGUUUGUUACACAGCAGUAGCUGACUGAUACAGGGGGAUUCAGUGGAAGUCAGAAUACCGAACAGGGUGACCCUAGCCCGCCUCCUCUCCCUGGCUUAGUUCAGGAAUGCUAGCACCCAGGCAUACAGAUAGGAGUCGGUGGAUAGGAUCUGACCACCCCAGAGAGAAGUCUCACAGGUGCUGACCUCUGGUCCCAUCUAGGUAUGCUUGACGAAAGAGCCAGCUGUCCCUAUAGCGAUGUUCAUUGCCUCGCAAGCCCUGUCCUCCUACAUGGAGCGGCCAAUCUGAGUGUUAAGGCUUCAUUCCGAAAAAUGAAUGGGAAACAGAAGAUGAAUGGACGAUUGAAGAAAACUCAAUCAAACAGAGAAAAGAAUUAGCAAGAAAUAGAGACAAGGCAGCGAUCAGAAGAAAACUUUGAAGAAACUACCACGGCUAUCCUUGGAGAGAGAAGGAAACAUAGCAUAGCCAUAAACAAAACCAGAAUACCAUAAUAAAGGAACAAUCAGAAAA